GAUCAUGGCUCAGGAUGAACGCUAGCUACAGGCUUAACACAUGCAAGUCGAGGGGCAGCAUGCUGGUAGCUUGCUACCAGUGAUGGCGACCGGCGCACGGGUGAGUAACGCGUAUCCAACCUUCCCGCAAGUAAGGGAUAACCCGUAGAAAUGCGGCCUAAUACCUUANGUUUUCCUUAGAGGGCAUCUGAUGAGGACAAAGAUCCGUCGCUUGCGGAUGGGGAUGCGUCUGAUUAGUUAGUCGGCGGGGUAACGGCCCACCGAGACGACGAUCAGUAGGGGUUCUGAGAGGAAAGUCCCCCACAUUGGAACUGAGACACGGUCCAAACUCCUACGGGAGGCAGCAGUGAGGAAUAUUGGUCAAUGGGCGCGAGCCUGAACCAGCCAAGUAGCGUGCGGGAUGAAGGCCCUAUGGGUUGUAAACCGCUUUUUCAGGGGGAUAAAGUGAGUGACGUGUCAUUCAUUGCAGGUACCCUGCGAAUAAGGACCGGCUAAUUCCGUG
Molecule: ribosomal RNA, 502 nt
Filed under: uncultured bacterium
Lineage: Bacteria
Description: bacterial SSU rRNA
Rfam family: Bacterial small subunit ribosomal RNA
Source: RNAcentral